RNAcentral lists this long non-coding RNA (262 nucleotides) under Gossypium barbadense (sea-island cotton). Its description in RNAcentral is "long non-coding RNA (GBAR_LNC014129)". The record is from RNAcentral. Lineage: Eukaryota; Viridiplantae; Streptophyta; Magnoliopsida; Malvales; Malvaceae.
GAGGAAUAGUUGAGUUAUAGAAAAUAGGAUGAAAUAAGGCUAAAGAUGCGGAAGCUUUCAAAUGGUUUUAAAGGUUGGCUAACGUGAUGGUAAAUUUAUAAGGGUAGUAGGCUCGAUUUAAGGAUAAAAAUAAGAAAAAUAGAAGUUGAUAAAUGAAGGCUCGGUUUAGUAAAAAGAUAUUAUAGUUGGGUAAAAUCUAGGAUAGUCGGUGGAAUGGAUAAAUGAGCUUAAACACCAGAAACGAUUCAACACUAAAAAAGUG